GUGGGGAAUAUUGGACAAUGGGCGCAAGCCUGAUCCAGCCAUGCCGCGUGAGUGAUGAAGGCCUUAGGGUUGUAAAGCUCUUUCAGUGGGGACGAUAAUGACGGUACCCACAGAAGAAGCCCCGGCUAACUUCGUGCCAGCAGCCGCGGUAAUACGAAGGGGGCUAGCGUUGUUCGGAUUUACUGGGCGUAAAGCGCACGUAGGCGGGUCGUUAAGUCGGGGGUGAAAUCCUGGAGCUCAACUCCAGAACUGCCUUCGAUACUGGCGACCUAGAGUCCGGAAGAGGUGAGUGGAACUCCUAGUGUAGAGGUGGAAUUCGUAGAUAUUAGGAAGAACACCAGUGGCGAAGGCGGCUCACUGGUCCGGUACUGACGCUGAGGUGCGAAAGCGUGGGGAGCAAACAGGAUUAGAAACCCGUGUAGUCC
RNAcentral lists this ribosomal RNA (425 nucleotides) under uncultured bacterium. RNAcentral describes it as "bacterial SSU rRNA". It matches the Rfam family "Bacterial small subunit ribosomal RNA", at positions 354 to 796 of the family's 1533-position model. The record is from RNAcentral.